GGGCCAAGACUUUUCACAAAUUGAGCUAGAAGUUUCUCUACUUAUCCCAUAAAGACUAGUCAAUUAAACACAAGAGUUCACUCUUUUCCUACAGCUUUCUCAUACUCCCAAAUCAAACUUUACAACACUCACCCCCAUCCUAUGGCUAGACAAUAAUGUGCCUAAUCUAGCAAGAAUGAAGAUCAAGCAUUGUCGUUCCCGAUACUCUCAACAUUAUGUGCAUGUAAGACUUUCCGAAAAAGGCCUCACUCAUCAAUCAAUGAAGGCUUAAACAGAGGAAGGGAUUUUGGGGAGAGGUCUACCACUAGAGGUUGUCAAAAAGAUUGGCAUAAAGGAUGUGACAAC
Molecule: long non-coding RNA, 345 nt
Filed under: Brassica napus (rape)
Lineage: Eukaryota; Viridiplantae; Streptophyta; Magnoliopsida; Brassicales; Brassicaceae
Description: long non-coding RNA (BNAP_LNC010170)
Source: RNAcentral